UAAGUCUCAGUUCGGAUUGAAGGCUGAAAUUCGCCUCAUGAAGCCGGAAUUGCUAGUAAUGGCAGGUCAGCAUACUGCCGUGAAUACGUUCCCGGGCCUUGUACACACCGCCCGUCACACCAUGAGAGUUGGAGAUACCCGAAGCCUGUGAGCUAACAAACGAGGCAGCAGUCGAAGGUAGAAUCAAUGAUUGGGGUGAAGUCGUAACAAGGUAUC
RNAcentral lists this ribosomal RNA (216 nucleotides) under uncultured bacterium. RNAcentral's name for it is "partial 16S ribosomal RNA". It matches the Rfam family "Bacterial small subunit ribosomal RNA", at positions 1282 to 1500 of the family's 1533-position model. The record is from RNAcentral.